RNAcentral lists this transfer RNA (73 nucleotides) under Erysipelotrichaceae bacterium. Its description in RNAcentral is "tRNA-Thr". It matches the Rfam family "tRNA". Rfam says of the family: Transfer RNA (tRNA) molecules are approximately 80 nucleotides in length. Their secondary structure includes four short double-helical elements and three loops (D, anti-codon, and T loops). Further hydrogen bonds mediate the characteristic L-shaped molecular structure. tRNAs have two regions of fundamental functional importance: the anti-codon, which is responsible for specific mRNA codon recognition, and the 3' end, to which the tRNAs corresponding amino acid is attached (by aminoacyl-tRNA synthetases). tRNAs cope with the degeneracy of the genetic code in two manners: having more than one tRNA (with a specific anti-codon) for a particular amino acid; and 'wobble' base-pairing, i.e. permitting non-standard base-pairing at the 3rd anti-codon position. The record is from RNAcentral. Lineage: Bacteria; Bacillati; Bacillota; Erysipelotrichia; Erysipelotrichales; Erysipelotrichaceae.
GCCGGCAUAGCUCAGCUGGCAGAGCAAAUCAUUCGUAAUGAUUAGGUCGCUGGUUCGAAUCCAGUUGCCGGCA